Molecule: non-coding RNA, 561 nt
Filed under: Pongo abelii (Sumatran orangutan)
Lineage: Eukaryota; Metazoa; Chordata; Mammalia; Primates; Hominidae
Source: RNAcentral
ACAAAACCCGGAAGGACCCAGCCGAAGGUUUUCUCCGGUUCGGGCAAGAGACGGGGUCCCGCUCUGUCACCCAGGCUGCCAGACUGGCGUACAGUGGUGCAAUCUCAGCUCACUGCAACCUGCACCUCCUGGGUUCAAGUGAUUUUCUUGUCUCUGCCUCCUGAGUAGCUGGGAUUACUGGCACACACCACCAUGCACUGUUCCUUGUUCAAAAUGCCAAGAACCUGGAUGACUCAGAGUCAAGACCCUCCACCAGUAACAUAUAUUGGCGAGCCAGCCAGGAGCUUGGAACCCUCGGUGGACAGUGCCUAAGCACAGAGGCAACCACAGGUUUCUAACCAGGGCCACUCUCCGGUGAAACUGAAAGGUUUCUGUGUGAAAGUGCCUGACCACCACUGCCCGGUUCGGUUGCGGGAAUUUAGCCAAUUCAGAGGUCUUGUUCUCCAUAAUCUGGAACUUUCCUUCAGAUUUGAUCAAGUUGGAUAAAGUUGGUCAAACCCAAUGGGAAAAAGAUGAAAACAACAAGAAACAGAAACAAACAACAACAACAACAACAAAACA